RNAcentral lists this small nuclear RNA (30 nucleotides) under Cervus elaphus hippelaphus. The record is from RNAcentral. Lineage: Eukaryota; Metazoa; Chordata; Mammalia; Artiodactyla; Cervidae.
GUGCUCGCUACGGCAGCACAUAUACUAAAA